UGUAGGUGAUAUACCUAAACCUAGUUUGGGUUUGAAUUGUAUUGGUGGAAAUGCAGCUAAUAUGGUGGUAAAAUUCUUAAAGCAAGGUGGUACUAUGGUUACAUAUGGAGGGAUGUCAAAGAAGCCAAUUACCAUAUCUACUCCAUAUUUUUAUAUUCAAGGAUAUUUCCUUGAAAGGAUACCUGUUACAAGAAAAGAAUUUAGAUGAAGCACAAUAUAGGUGUUCGAUUGAUCAUCUAUUGGCCCUCGUUCGUGCUGGGAUAUUGAAAUAUGAGAUGGAUAUGGUAUCUUUUAAAGAUUUUCAUAUAGCUCUUGAAAAGGCAAUGGGAAAACAAGGAAGUCAAAGGAAACAAAUUCUAAAAUUUUAAAAUAAAUUAGCUUCGAUUAUUGUUAGACUAUAUUUUUCAACUUGAAUUUUGUCAUAAGUA
This is a long non-coding RNA of Solanum tuberosum (potato), 428 nucleotides long. RefSeq lists it as uncharacterized. Lineage: Eukaryota; Viridiplantae; Streptophyta; Magnoliopsida; Solanales; Solanaceae. The transcript is spliced from 4 exons. The record is from RefSeq and is a predicted model, not a curated record.